CUCUGACCUUGUCCUUGCCUACUCCAACGGGAGUUACCAGACGACUACUUCUGCAUAUCAAUGGAAGGGGGUUUUACUGGCCACCACAAGCACUUUCCCUCCAAAUUUGGGUUUCACUUUUUGGGGUUUCUUUUAGAUCUGGAGACGAACAUCAUCGCUUCGGUAUUCCAAUUCUCUUUUUGGGUUUUGACAUCAUCAGGAUCUGAGCAAGCGGUGUGUGUAGAAAUUGGAAACAGGGGGUGAAGCAGAGUCUGGGACGCAUAGACAAUUUGAGCUUUGCUGGUUGGAAGAUGGGUUCUUAGAUAUGAUUUUUGGGUGUGAGAACUCUAAUUGGAGAACAAGAGGAUGAUGGACAGUUCUAUUAGAGAAAUAGAGAGGACAAGCCUUCUGAGGGCAAGAGAAGAAGCUUUGGGUUUGAGAACUCUAGCUGGAGAACAAGAGGAUGAUGGACAGUUCUAUUAGAGAAAUAGAGAGGACAAGCCUUCUGAGGGCAAGAGAAGAAGCUAGUUCGAGGUUAAGAAAAGUGCUAAGCAAGGGCAGAUGAUCUGUUUUUCUUCUGAUCAGAUACAAGAAGGUAAUUCAAAUAAGCCCCAUUCAACUGGUGUAGUAGAUGCUUAUCUUGCAGAGUGGAUGAGAGAAAUGAAUGUAAAGUAGUGUAGGAAAUGGAUGUAAAGUAGUUGUGAAGGUUUCUUUUUGCUUCUAUGGAUUUUUAUUUGCUUGUAAGCAAAUCUUAUAUGAUGUACAAUAAUUAUAUAAAUGAAGUUUAUUUACCAACAAAAAUAUAGAAACAUGAAAU
Molecule: long non-coding RNA, 796 nt
Organism: Rosa chinensis
Lineage: Eukaryota; Viridiplantae; Streptophyta; Magnoliopsida; Rosales; Rosaceae
Exons: 3
Source: RefSeq, a predicted model, not a curated record